This 273-nucleotide unclassified non-coding RNA is filed under the name Ambisporaceae sp. RNAcentral's name for it is "partial contains 5.8S ribosomal RNA and internal transcribed spacer 2". The stretch from base 1 to 71 matches the Rfam family "5.8S ribosomal RNA", at positions 84 to 154 of the family's 154-position model. Lineage: Eukaryota; Fungi; Glomeromycota; Glomeromycetes; Archaeosporales; Ambisporaceae. The record is from RNAcentral.
GUGAAUCAUCAAAUUUUUGAACGCAUAUCGCACUCUCUGGUAUUCCGGAGAGUAUGCCUGUUUGAGGGUAAUUAAAAAGAAUCUGUAACCAAUUUUUUUUGGUCAUAGGAAAUGAGUUUUCCGCUUUCAUAGCGGUCGCUGGAAAUAAAUGGUCAAGUAUCAUUUUAGUCGAGACGCGUAAUAAUAUUAUUUUGCUAAAUCUUCAUUAUAUGACGAUCAAGUUUUUAUGCAUACAAAUUUGGGUUGUUGUAGAUCAAUACAAAUAUUUUUGAA